Molecule: unclassified non-coding RNA, 290 nt
Filed under: Penicillium sp.
Lineage: Eukaryota; Fungi; Ascomycota; Eurotiomycetes; Eurotiales; Aspergillaceae
Description: partial contains 5.8S ribosomal RNA, internal transcribed spacer 2, and large subunit ribosomal RNA
Rfam family: 5.8S ribosomal RNA (bases 1-71)
Source: RNAcentral
GUGAGUCAUCGAAUCUUUGAACGCACAUUGCGCCCCCUGGUAUUCCGGGGGGCAUGCCUGUCCGAGCGUCAUUGCUGCCCUCAAGCACGGCUUGUGUGUUGGGCUCCGUCCCCCCGGGGACGGGUCCGAAAGGCAGCGGCGGCACCGAGUCCGGUCCUCGAGCGUAUGGGGCUUUGUCACCCGCUCUGUAGGCCCGGCCGGCGCCAGCCGACAACCAAUCAUCCUUUUCAGGUUGACCUCGGAUCAGGUAGGGAUACCCGCUGAACUUAAGCAUAUCAAUAAGCGGAGGA